RNAcentral lists this ribosomal RNA (253 nucleotides) under uncultured prokaryote. RNAcentral's name for it is "partial 16S ribosomal RNA". It matches the Rfam family "Bacterial small subunit ribosomal RNA", at positions 524 to 776 of the family's 1533-position model. The record is from RNAcentral.
UACGUAGGUGGCAAGCGUUGUCCGGAUUUACUGGGUGUAAAGGGCGCGUAGGCGGGAGAGCAAGUCAGAUGUGAAAUGUGGGGGCUUAACCCUCAAGCUGCAUUUGAAACUGUUCUUCUUGAGUAUCGGAGAGGCAGGCGGAAUUCCUAGUGUAGCGGUGAAAUGCGUAGAUAUUAGGAGGAACACCAGUGGCGAAGGCGGCCUGCUGGACGACAACUGACGCUGAGGCGCGAAAGCGUGGGGAGCAAACAGG